AAAUUGAAGAGUUUGAUCAUGGCUCAGAUUGAACGCUGGCGGCAGGCCUAACACAUGCAAGUCGAACGGUAACAGGAAGCAGCUUGCUGCUUCGCUGACGAGUGGCGGACGGGUGAGUAAUGUCUGGGAACUGGCCUGUGGGAG
RNAcentral lists this ribosomal RNA (144 nucleotides) under Salmonella enterica subsp. enterica serovar Typhimurium. RNAcentral's name for it is "partial 16S ribosomal RNA". It matches the Rfam family "Bacterial small subunit ribosomal RNA", at positions 1 to 138 of the family's 1533-position model. The record is from RNAcentral. Lineage: Bacteria; Pseudomonadati; Pseudomonadota; Gammaproteobacteria; Enterobacterales; Enterobacteriaceae.